This 389-nucleotide ribosomal RNA is filed under the name Escherichia coli. RNAcentral describes it as "partial 23S ribosomal RNA". It matches the Rfam family "Bacterial large subunit ribosomal RNA", at positions 2252 to 2640 of the family's 2925-position model. The record is from RNAcentral. Lineage: Bacteria; Pseudomonadati; Pseudomonadota; Gammaproteobacteria; Enterobacterales; Enterobacteriaceae. RNAcentral also lists the same sequence under 1 other name.
CAGUGUCUGGUGGGUAGUUUGACUGGGGCGGUCUCCUCCUAAAGAGUAACGGAGGAGCACGAAGGUUGGCUAAUCCUGGUCGGACAUCAGGAGGUUAGUGCAAUGGCAUAAGCCAGCUUGACUGCGAGCGUGACGGCGCGAGCAGGUGCGAAAGCAGGUCAUAGUGAUCCGGUGGUUCUGAAUGGAAGGGCCAUCGCUCAACGGAUAAAAGGUACUCCGGGGAUAACAGGCUGAUACCGCCCAAGAGUUCAUAUCGACGGCGGUGUUUGGCACCUCGAUGUCGGCUCAUCACAUCCUGGGGCUGAAGUAGGUCCCAAGGGUAUGGCUGUUCGCCAUUUAAAGUGGUACGCGAGCUGGGUUUAGAACGUCGUGAGACAGUUCGGUCCCUA